AUGCACGCUGGCGGCGUGCCUAAUCCCUGCCAGUCGAGCGAACAGAUGAGGAGCUUGCUCCUCUGACGUUAGCGGCGGACGGGUGAGUAACACGUGGAUAACCUACCUAUAAGACUGGGAUAACUUCGGGAAACCGGAGCUAAUACCGGAUAAUAUAUUGAACCGCUUGGUUCAAUAGUGAAAGACGGUUUUGCUGUCACUUAUAGAUGGAUCCGCGCCGCAUUAGCUAGUUGGUAAGGUAACGGCUUACCAAGGCAACGAUGCGUAGCCGACCUGAGAGGGUGAUCGGCCACACUGGAACUGAGACACGGUCCAGACUCCUACGGGAGGCAGCAGUAGGGAAUCUUCCGCAAUGGGCGAAAGCCUGACGGAGCAACGCCGCGUGAGUGAUGAAGGUCUUCGGAUCGUAAAACUCUGUUAUUAGGGAAGAACAAAUGUGUAAGUAACUAUGCACGUCUUGACGGUACCUAAUCAGAAAGCCACGGCUAACUACGUG
This 496-nucleotide ribosomal RNA is filed under the name uncultured bacterium. RNAcentral describes it as "partial 16S ribosomal RNA". It matches the Rfam family "Bacterial small subunit ribosomal RNA", at positions 29 to 507 of the family's 1533-position model. The record is from RNAcentral.